UACGUAGGGUGCAAGCGUUGUCCGGAUUUACUGGGCGUAAAGAGCGCGCAGGCGGUCGUAUAAGUCGAAUGUGAAAGCCCCCGGCUCAACUGGGGAGGGUCAUUCGAUACUGUUCGACUCGAAGGCAGGAGAGGGAAGUGGAAUUCCGGGUGUAGUGGUGAAAUGCGUAGAUAUCCGGAGGAACACCAGUGGCGAAGGCGACUUUCUGGCCUGUUCUUGACGCUGAGGCGCGAAAGCUAGGGGAGCAAACGGG
RNAcentral lists this ribosomal RNA (253 nucleotides) under uncultured bacterium. RNAcentral describes it as "partial 16S ribosomal RNA". It matches the Rfam family "Bacterial small subunit ribosomal RNA", at positions 524 to 776 of the family's 1533-position model. The record is from RNAcentral.